AACUCAAAGGAGACUGCCAGUGAUAAACUGGAGGAAGGUGGGGAUGACGUCAAGUCAUCAUGGCCCUUACGACCAGGGCUACACACGUGCUACAAUGGCGCAUACAAAGAGAAGCGACCUCGCGAGAGCAAGCGGACCUCAUAAAGUGCGUCGUAGUCCGGAUUGGAGUCUGCAACUCGACUCCAUGAAGUCGGAAUCGCUAGUAAUCGUGGAUCAGAAUGCCACGGUGAAUACGUUCCCGGGCCUUGUACACACCGCCCGUCACACCAUGGGAGUGGGUUGCAAAAGAAGUAGGUAGCUUAACCUUCGGGAGGGCGCUUACCACUUUGUGAUUCAUGACUGGGGUGAAGUCGUAACAAGGUAACCGUAGGGGAACCUGCGGUUGGA
Molecule: ribosomal RNA, 387 nt
Filed under: Escherichia coli
Lineage: Bacteria; Pseudomonadati; Pseudomonadota; Gammaproteobacteria; Enterobacterales; Enterobacteriaceae
Also listed under: 12 other names
Description: bacterial SSU rRNA
Rfam family: Bacterial small subunit ribosomal RNA
Source: RNAcentral